Molecule: ribosomal RNA, 1372 nt
Filed under: uncultured bacterium
Lineage: Bacteria
Description: bacterial SSU rRNA
Rfam family: Bacterial small subunit ribosomal RNA
Source: RNAcentral
GAUGAACGCUGGCGGCGUGCCUAAUACAUGCAAGUCGAGCGAACGGACGAGAAGCUUGCUUCUCUGAUGUUAGCGGCGGACGGGUGAGUAACACGUGGAUAACCUACCUAUAAGACUGGGAUAACUUCGGGAAACCGGAGCUAAUACCGGAUAAUAUUUUGAACCGCAUGGUUCAAAAGUGAAAGACGGUCUUGCUGUCACUUAUAGAUGGAUCCGCGCUGCAUUAGCUAGUUGGUAAGGUAACGGCUUACCAAGGCAACGAUGCAUAGCCGACCUGAGAGGGUGAUCGGCCACACUGGAACUGAGACACGGUCCAGACUCCUACGGGAGGCAGCAGUAGGGAAUCUUCCGCAAUGGGCGAAAGCCUGACGGAGCAACGCCGCGUGAGUGAUGAAGGUCUUCGGAUCGUAAAACUCUGUUAUUAGGGAAGAACAUAUGUGUAAGUAACUGUGCACAUCUUGACGGUACCUAAUCAGAAAGCCACGGCUAACUACGUGCCAGCAGCCGCGGUAAUACGUAGGUGGCAAGCGUUAUCCGGAAUUAUUGGGCGUAAAGCGCGCGUAGGCGGUUUUUUAAGUCUGAUGUGAAAGCCCACGGCUCAACCGUGGAGGGUCAUUGGAAACUGGAAAACUUGAGUGCAGAAGAGGAAAGUGGAAUUCCAUGGGUAGCGGUGAAAUGCGCAGAGAUAUGGAGGAACACCAGUGGCGAAGGCGACUUUCUGGUCUGUAACUGACGCUGAUGUGCGAAAGCGUGGGGAUCAAACAGGAUUAGAUACCCUGGUAGUCCACGCCGUAAACGAUGAGUGCUAAGUGUUAGGGGGUUUCCGCCCCUUAGUGCUGCAGCUAGCGCAUUAAGCACUCCGCCUGGGGAGUACGACCGCAAGGUUGAAACUCAAAGGAAUUGACGGGGACCCGCACAAGCGGUGGAGCAUGUGGUUUAAUUCGAAGCAACGCGAAGAACCUUACCAAAUCUUGACAUCCUUUGACAACUCUAGAGAUAGAGCCUCCCCCUUCGGGGGACAAAGUGACAGGUGGUGCAUGGUUGUCGUCAGCUCGUGUCGUGAGAUGUUGGGUUAAGUCCCGCAACGAGCGCAACCCUUAAGCUUAGUUGCCAUCAUUAAGUUGGGCACUCUAAGUUGACUGCCGGUGACAAACCGGAGGAAGGUGGGGAUGACGUCAAAUCAUCAUGCCCCUUAUGAUUUGGGCUACACACGUGCUACAAUGGACAAUACAAAGGGCAGCGAAACCGCGAGGUCAAGCAAAUCCCAUAAAGUUGUUCUCAGUUCGGAUUGUAGUCUGCAACUCGACUACAUGAAGCUGGAAUCGCUAGUAAUCGUAGAUCAGCAUGCUACGGUGAAUACGUUCCCGGGUCU